AUGUCCUAUAUUGAGUUCUUAAGCAGUGGUGCCUCCAGAGUGUGCUUGACAGGGGUCUGCUUAGAGUGACCAGUCAAGUGGCAAAACUUGCCUUUUAAUUGCAUGGGUUAUCUGGCAGAGAAAACCUUAACC
This is a non-coding RNA of Callorhinus ursinus (northern fur seal), 132 nucleotides long. The record is from RefSeq and is a predicted model, not a curated record. NCBI's taxonomy places the organism in Eukaryota, Metazoa, Chordata, Mammalia, Carnivora, Otariidae.